GACGAACGCUGGCGGCGUGCCUAACACAUGCAAGUCGAACGGAAAGGCCCUGCUUUUGCGGGGUGCCCGUGUGGCCAACGGGCGCGUAACACGUAGGUACCCUGCCCUUACCUUUGGGAUAACUUCGGGAAACUGUGGCUAAUACCAGCUAGGAGCUCCUGAUGUUUGGUGUGGCAUGAAAAGUUUAGGCGAUUGGGGAUGGAAUCACGGGUUGACAGAUCUGUGGUGGGGUAGUGGCUUACUAAGGUUUUGGCGGACAGCCGGCCUGAGAGGGUGACCGGCCACAGUGGGACUGGGGUGGCGGCCGGAGUGCAACGGGGGGCAGGAGUGGGGAAUAGUGCGAGAUGGGCGGAGGCCGGAUGGAGCAACGCCGGGUGGGGGAUGACGGUCUUCGGUUUGGAAACCGUGUUCGCCUGGGACGAAGCGUGAGUGACGGUAGUGUGUAAGGAAGCACCGGCUAACUACGUG
RNAcentral lists this ribosomal RNA (468 nucleotides) under uncultured bacterium. Its description in RNAcentral is "partial 16S ribosomal RNA". It matches the Rfam family "Bacterial small subunit ribosomal RNA", at positions 28 to 507 of the family's 1533-position model. The record is from RNAcentral.